UGAUGUUCUUUUGAGGAAAUACUUUGUUUUGGGUCAGAGUAUAUGGGAAAUCAACUUAUACCUUUCUGUGCUAUAAAUAGGUUGAUUAGCUCACUAACUAGGAGAGAAUUUCUCUUGAUCCAUAUGUCCUGUUGUGGUUAACAGGUUCUCAUCCUUUAGAUCUUUGAUCUGCUUAGAUCCAUACAAUCCAAAUUUAGGAAUGGAAGUUAAAUGAUUACUAAAUCAAAAAGAAAUGGCCAGAUUUAUUUUCCUAGAUCACUGAGUUGAACUCAUGCAUGUCUCCACGUUCGCAAGAUCAUGUAUUCGUUCUGUAAAUCCAAGCAAUAUAUGGUGACAGCAUAUUGUCUUUCCAAUUUAGAAAUGAAAUUGUAUGGUUAAUAAACUUCAGAAAAUAUGGCCAGCUUUACUUUCCUGGGAACAAUGUAAAACAAAUUGGAUUGAGCCUAUCAAUGGAGCAGAAGAAGAGGAUUAGGGGACAGCCCUCAGUGUCGUGUAAAUGGCGAGGAGAAGACCACAUGAAUUUAUUAUUAUUAUUAUUUUGAGCAAAAGGUUGGGGAAAACUAAACCAAUUCUUUGAGAAAAUGAAUAAGUGCUUACAAACUUUCUCAAGAGCAAGUCACAAACAACAUGGGAAAUGAAUCCAAGCAAAUCAAAGUCCACCUGAAAUGUACAACCUCAUCCUGAAGACCGCAGGAGUGUGAAAAUCUUUUAUUCUCUUCUAAGAUCUGGAAUGCAACAACUGCUUCCUCCCCAUGAAGGAAACAACUUCAUGGGGCUCAACGCUUUAUUGCUUGAUAAAACAAGUCCAAGUAUUUAAGUUUUAUCUUCCUCUUCAAAACCUUUUUUCUAGUUUUACAUGGUGAUGAUUCUUUCUGAAUGAGUUCUUUUGAGGUUUACUAUCAAAAAGUUUGUUAUCAUAUUAUUCUUCGAAAUGCUUAAGAAAUCAUGUCUCAUUUAAAAGAUUUUAUGUGAGGAGUUAUCUUUAUGGAUGCAUCUCAAGUCUUCACAUGCAAUCAACUGAAGUUCUAUGAAUAGUGACUUUCCUAAGUUUGGAUCAGUGAAAUGAAGGAACUAAGUUUUUGAAUUAAGAGACCACUUGGCCUAACCUUCUACCCUCUCUUUCUCUCAAAAAAAGAAAAAUCAUCAUAAAUUAGUUUGAGGAUAAAUCACUAACUUUUCCUCUCAAAGAGUUGAUUCUCAACACGCUCACCUUCAACCAAACACACUAUUGUAUUCUAGCUGAUGCAAGGGCAUCCUCCAUUUCUAUGUUGCUCAUGAGACGACAACGGGUGUGGAAAUGUGUAUUUUGAGCAUCUAAAUAUAUUACCAUUUUGCAUCUCCAUUCUUGCAUAAUUUUAGAACAUUUAUAACUCUGUUUUAUUAUGAUCAUGAUAAUGUUGCAACCAUGGAGCCAAGAGUUUGAGUAAUGUUUAUUUCCUCAAAAUAAGAAAAGAAAUGGAGUUUGUGCCAAACUUCUUGAAAUAAAUGAAAUUCACAAAACUGCGAUGAUCCCAUGGUCCCUCUUCCUUGUAUGAUCCAACCAUCCACCUAGAUGAUUUUCAGUGAAUAAAGAGCAAAUUCAGCUAGCACACCUCCUCUAGGCUAUUAUUUUCAACAAUAUCCAUUCAUUUGGGGGGAAAGCUGCAAGUACUAUUCUUAGGUGCUCUACUUGAUAUCGCAUAACAUUUUUCCCAUACAUAUUUCAAUAAUCUAUUACAUUUGCAUGUAAAACACAUAAUGCUUGUUAUUGGUUCUCUAGCUAGCAAAACACUACCAUGAACCAAACUCAGACCUCUCUUUCUAGCACUUGCUGAUGAGGAGAGAGGUGCCAACCACUUG
This 1839-nucleotide long non-coding RNA is filed under the name Phoenix dactylifera (date palm). Its description in RNAcentral is "long non-coding RNA (PDAC_LNC000206)". The record is from RNAcentral. Lineage: Eukaryota; Viridiplantae; Streptophyta; Magnoliopsida; Arecales; Arecaceae.